This 274-nucleotide ribosomal RNA is filed under the name uncultured bacterium. Its description in RNAcentral is "partial 16S ribosomal RNA". It matches the Rfam family "Bacterial small subunit ribosomal RNA", at positions 523 to 796 of the family's 1533-position model. The record is from RNAcentral.
AUACGGAGGGUCCGAGCGUUAUCCGGAAUCAUUGGGUUUAAAGGGUCCGUAGGCGGGAAUCUAAGUCAGUGGUGAAAUCUUGCAGCUCGACUGUAAAAUUGCCAUUGAUACUGGAUUUCUUGAAUUAGUGUGAAGUGGUUAGAAUGUGUAGUGUAGCGGUGAAAUGCAUAGAUAUUACACAGAAUACCAAUUGCGAAGGCAGAUCACUAACACUAUAUUGACGCUAAGGGACGAAAGCGUGGGGAGCGAACAGGAUUAGAAACCCGAGUAGUCC